This 779-nucleotide unclassified non-coding RNA is filed under the name Gigantopelta aegis. Its description in RNAcentral is "uncharacterized LOC121388936, transcript variant X3". The record is from RNAcentral. Lineage: Eukaryota; Metazoa; Mollusca; Gastropoda; Neomphalida; Peltospiridae.
UACAUUUGACCAAUUAGAACUCAGCUAAGAAAUUACGUCACAGGUUUUCCCAACCUGUCAAUUUCGGCGUGACAAAUGGCCCGGUCUUGCGGAUUUGUUGUGAUUUUAUCGAAAUUAGGUAGAAACACCACCGCCACAUUCCAAUGCUGACAAUCGGUCACUGUAUAUUUUUUAUUACUUGAAGGAAGGAAAACAUCACCCAGAUGUAACUGUCGGUCACCAAAGUGGAAUCAGAAAGGCCGUUAAAAAAUAUUCCAUUAAAGGUAUGUUUUUGAUUAUUCCUCAAAUCAUAUUUAUCUAUCAGCUACAAUUCCUAAAUAUAAUUUGUUAGAUCUGCUUGUAGGAUAUCAGUAUCCUGUUAUAAUAUUUUAAAAGCCUGAUGAUAAUAAAAUAACUUAAAUUACUUGUACGUAUAUGCAGAUCUAUAUUUCAUCCAUGCAGGCCAUUUGUCAUGGUGCUGUGCAGGACCAUGACAUAUGGCCCUCUGCUUUAUAAUACUAUAUAUCCAUGUAAUAAGUUUAUAACAUACUUAUAAUAACAAGAAGAAACAUGUAUAAUGUAAUUUGAACUAGACAUGACAUGACAUGGCUUCUUAUUAUAGUAAUAAAAUAACUUAAAUCACUUGUAUGUAUAAGCAGAUCUAUAUUUCAUCCAUGCAGGCCAUUUGUCAUGGUGCUGUGCAGUACCAUGACAUAUGGCCCUCUGCUUUAUAAUACUAUAUAUCCAUGUAAUAAGUUUAUAACAUACUGUAGGUAGGUAGGAACUUUUUAUUAUUUAUU